RNAcentral lists this ribosomal RNA (253 nucleotides) under uncultured microorganism. RNAcentral's name for it is "partial 16S ribosomal RNA". It matches the Rfam family "Bacterial small subunit ribosomal RNA", at positions 524 to 776 of the family's 1533-position model. The record is from RNAcentral.
UACGUAGGGUGCGAGCGUUAAUCGGAUUUACUGGGCGUAAAGCGUGCGCAGGCGGCCCGUUAAGACAGGUGUGAAAUCCCUGGGCUCAACCUAGGAAUUGCGCUUGUGACUGGCGGGCUGGAGUACGGUAGAGGGGGGUGGAAUUCCUGGUGUAGCGGUGAAAUGCGUAGAGAUCAGGAGGAACACCGAUGGCGAAGGCAGCCCCCUGGGCCUGUACUGACGCUCAUGCACGAAAGCGUGGGGAGCAAACAGG